CCCCUCUCAGGUUCGCACCUGGAGAGUUUCCAGUACUCUACCAAUCUCAAUUAUGGGAGGGAGAGUCAAGCAGAGGCAUAUUCAUUCCAUUCCUAGCUUGAGCAACGGCUAUUGAGUGGAAGGCAACCUGCUACAAGU
Small nucleolar RNA from Tachyglossus aculeatus (Australian echidna), 138 nucleotides. Lineage: Eukaryota; Metazoa; Chordata; Mammalia; Monotremata; Tachyglossidae. The record is from RefSeq and is a predicted model, not a curated record.